RNA transcript from Phalaenopsis equestris, 860 nucleotides. RefSeq lists it as uncharacterized. The record is from RefSeq and is a predicted model, not a curated record. Lineage: Eukaryota; Viridiplantae; Streptophyta; Magnoliopsida; Asparagales; Orchidaceae. The transcript has 4 exons.
CGCGCUGCUUAACGAGCCGAACACGAGCUGUUCACGAACAAGAGCCAAAUUGACAGCCCUAAGUACAAAGGUCUCUGAAACUCUGUCGGUAUGUCUCCGCUCCUAUCCGACUAACCGUCAUCUUUCUCUUCAUUCUUUCCACCCCCUUUAGCGCGCUUCAGCUUCUAUCCUGCAUUUCCAGCAUUAGAGUUGUCAUUUUUGUUGUUUGACCGCCAAACGGCCCCCGAAGGAUCCGGCAUAAGGCAUUGCCUUCCAAAUGAGGUGCAGGAAGGUUAUGAAAAGCAUGUUUACAGGGAAUUUCAAUUGACUGAGCUGAAUAGAAGCAAUAAAGAGAAGAAGAGGAAACGGAGGGACUCAGUUGUGGAGGGGUUCAAUGUUUUCAAAAGCUCUAAGUCUCUCAAAACCAGUGAUGCAAGAUCAAAUUUGGAAGAUGAUUCUGUACUACAUAGAAAGGAAGUAGAGAAGCAGAUAGAGGUCGGUCUGGAAGAGCUGGGAGAUGUGGUGAGGCUAUAACAUUGUUUACUGAAGAGGAUAAACCAUUCCUAAGGAACAUAGCUAAUGUGAUGAAAGAGUCAGGCUGUGAGUUUCCAGAUUGGAUCCUAAGCUUGCCCAAGCUCAAGAGGAAGAAGCACAGACCAAUGAGAAAUUCUGUAGGAGCCGAACCUGUUGACACUGAAGAUCAUUAAGCUGUCUCCUCAAUUUCUUUCUGAUGUAGUCAGCAUUUUAAGUUACAUGUAACAAUUAUAAUUUUCCUGGAUUCAUUAAUUGAAUCAUUUCUCAAAUGAAAGUGUCAUCUUUUUGGGUGAUAAGAAGACAUUUGAACUAACAGCUAACUUUUCAAGAUAAUCCUUUGUAGCAUC